RNAcentral lists this ribosomal RNA (254 nucleotides) under uncultured bacterium. RNAcentral describes it as "partial 16S ribosomal RNA". It matches the Rfam family "Bacterial small subunit ribosomal RNA", at positions 524 to 776 of the family's 1533-position model. The record is from RNAcentral.
UACGUAGGGGGCGAGCGUUGUCCGGAUUUAUUGGGCGUAAAGAGCUCGUAGGCGGUUUGGUAAGUCGGGUGUGAAAUCUCCACGCUCAACGUGGAGGGGCCACUCGAUACUGCCAUGACUCGAGUCCGGUAGAGGAGUGUGGAAUUCCCGGUGUAGCGGUGAAAUGCGCAGAGAUCGGGAGGAACACCAGUGGCGAAGGCGGCCAUCUGGCUCAACAUUGACGCUGAGGCACGAAAGCGUGGGGAGCAAACAGG